CGAAAAUUCAGAUACAUCGUUCCUCAACCCACUUAAACACAAACAGCACCUAAAAUGCUGUUUCAGCAUAUUACAUCUGUGCUACAAUUCCUCAAGUGUUUUCUCACUUAAACAGUUUCAGACCCCAGUUUUGCUUCUGUUGAUUUUAGGUGCUUAUCAAGUUCCAUGUUUUGAACAAUUCUUGUACUUCUCCCCUGGCCAGCAGAGCCAUGGAAGAUUUGCCAUCCACUUUUCUUCAGAUGGGAUGUGAUACAGAGAGAUGAAAAGUGUUCCACAGGCACUCUGUCAGGGAAAGUGCUUGGGAUCACCAGUGCAAAGGUCUAGGUGAGUUUGAACCAUUGCAGUGACCUUUCUUUCUGGAUCUAGAGCUUACUUCAUGGCUUUUGCAUCAGAAGAUGGAAGAUUCCUAUGUAUGAGCCACUCUUCAGCAUGCAGUUAGAAGGACUGCUGGACAACUUAGCAGUUAUGGAUUGCACUGAAAGAGAAGAGGACUGCAAACCUUCUUUCACACAGUACAUCUUGGCUCACUUCCUGCCGUUGGAAAAGAUUGUUUCAAUACCUGUGAACAUGUGCAUUACAAGAGACAGACUUGCUCCUUCCUGCAUCGAAAACUGAGCUCUGAAUAUUUCUCUGAGAACCUCAAGCAUGGAUAAUUAGCAUAUUGAACAGAGAGUGCCUUCCUACCCCUGAAAGAAAAAAAGGAGUUGACUGAGGCAGCACCACUGUUACAGGCUGAGGACUAGCUCCACAUGACUCAGAAGUGAAAGAGAGAAAUGAAACCAAAGCCUCCUACAGCAAAUUUCUUCCUACCUCUCUUCUCCCUUUCUCGAACCAAACUGUAUUGUCUUAAUCUGAGAAUGUGAUUUAUUUGUGAAGUAUCUAGUGGGUGGCAGAGGUGGGGAGCAAAGCUGCACAAAGCUCCCCUGAGCUGCUGACCGAGGUAAAUAGUGUGUCAUAACACAUUUAUCAAAUAAUAAUGGAAACCGUAUAGAACACGUAGGAGAGGGAGGGGGAAACCCCAUUCCCCACUGGGAAGUUACUGAAUAUUUCAGCCAGUUUAUAAAAAUAUGUGUACAUGUGUUUGGAAGGGGGGAGGUUUUUCUAGCUUCACCUCUGCAAAUAAAUCAUUGGUGUGGGAUGUCUGAGCA
This 1148-nucleotide long non-coding RNA is filed under the name Parus major (Great Tit). RNAcentral's name for it is "lncRNA (ENSPMJG00000016985.1)". Lineage: Eukaryota; Metazoa; Chordata; Aves; Passeriformes; Paridae. The record is from RNAcentral.